This 1910-nucleotide small RNA is filed under the name Rattus norvegicus (Norway rat). Its description in RNAcentral is "uncharacterized LOC103691274". Lineage: Eukaryota; Metazoa; Chordata; Mammalia; Rodentia; Muridae. The record is from RNAcentral.
ACGCUGGGAAAUGUAGUUUCCAAUUUGCCACUAAUAGGCCUGAGGAAUGGACACAAGAUGGCGCCCGAGCGUCGCAGUUGGUUCAAACGAGCAGUAGUCUCUGCCGACGCUGUUGCUGCGGCCUGACGAGAGGCUGCCCAGGCCUGAAAGGUCGAACUCUUGGAUGCCCUGCCUCUGGGGCGUCUACCUUGCCGAGUAGGGGCCGAAGCCGGAGUUAAGAGGAGGGUUUGAUAUUGCUGUGUUUUUAAACAGCCUAAUGAGGUGUUACCCUGACUCUGGGUAUGGGGUGACCACUGGUGAUCCUGCGUCGGCAUAAGGAGAAGGCUUUGAAGGGUCCUUGUGGAUAAGAGGUUGCUUGGAGAGGCGUCCAUGACUGUAUCCCUGCUUUUUAAGCUGAGCAUGCAGGACGCAGAGCUGCCCGACACUGUUGAUCUCACCAGCCUUCAGCACUAGCUCAGCAAUCUGAUGUGACUCCUGCUUAGCUGCCGGAGGAAAGGCAGCCCCAGAUUUGCUCAGUAAUGGAACUAGCUUCCCUGUAUUCCUCCUUCUGACCUCACGGAAACCACACAGACUGAUUUAAAUGACUCUUAUUCCAGAGAGACUCAGAAGCUGAGCCCUAGCUGUGUGUAAAUGAACUGCGUUGCUUUAAAACAGAAACCAAAGAGACAAGGGGGUGCUUAUGGCUUUCCAGUUUUGAGUACAGGAAAGUGAUGGAGCCAGGGCUGAGGCCCACAGUUCCCCUCCCAGAGAUACCCAGCUCUUCUGGACUUUAGUGUGAGGAUAGGCCUGGGAAUUCCCCCAAGGGUUUGGGAAAGGCACAUUUAUGAAACUGGAUGUACUGUGAUGUUCAUGUCUGGUGUCAGUUCCUCUCAGGACAUUAAGGGAGGCACUGGGCACACUUACCCCUGAUCCGUGUAGUGUGCCAGUGUCACAGGCACAGAGCACAGUCUUGGCACUGGGCACACUUACCCCUGAUCCGUGUAGUGUGUCAAAUGUCACAGGCACAGAGCACAGUCUUGGCACUAGGGUGAAUAGGAUAAUGAUGGGAGCACUAAUUCAAUUAUUUCUUUAUUUUUAAUUUUUUUAGACAAGGUCUUACUGUAUAGCCCUGGGUGUCUUCAACCUCCCCAUGUAGGCCUCAAAUUCAGAGGUCUCUCUCCCUCUCCCUCCAAAGGGUAGGGAAUAAAAAGCCUGUGCCCCUAUGCCUUAGCCACUAAGUGUUCUUACAAGCUGAGAUGAGCAGAAGCAGCCCCUAGGUGGGUGGGGUCACUGAUAACCAUGGGCUGGCUUUGAAAACCAGGCUUUCUUAGAACCCAAAAUAGAAAAUAUGUUUAAGAAGUAGCAUCGAGGGGUUGGGGAUUUAGCUCAGUGGUAGAGCACUUGCCUAGCAAGCACAAGGCCCUGGGUUCGGUCCCUGGCUCUGAAAAAUAGAAAAAAAAAAAAAGUAGCAUCGAAUGUCCAAAAGGGAGUUCAGCUUCAAGGAUAGGCUUGGUCUCUUAACCAUAUUGGUGGCAACAGCUUCUACUUCCUCAUAGUUAACUCCUUUUUAGCUGUCCCAGCAGAACCAAACCCCUGCUCCCAUACAGGGUUGCUCCCCCUGGACCUGUUGAUGGACAGAAUGGCUAACAUCUUCUCAGGCCUUGCCCUAGAGAUGAGGAGAUAGCACGGGCUACCUCUAUCCCUCCUCCAACACCACUCAACCAGAACAGGUCUGUUAGAGGAAACCUGAGAGACAUGAGAAGCUGGAGAGGGCAGUACAGACAAAAUGCAGAGAAGAUUCUGACCGAAUGACAGACGGCUUUGUCACAAAGGGAAAACACUUAAUAUGAAAAUGUCUUUUAUUUCUCAGUACAAAGCCAGAUACUAUACGACUAUGAAAAACUUGACUAGCCAGAGAUCUUCAAGAACAA